RNAcentral lists this microRNA precursor (138 nucleotides) under Olea europaea subsp. europaea. The record is from RNAcentral. Lineage: Eukaryota; Viridiplantae; Streptophyta; Magnoliopsida; Lamiales; Oleaceae.
GGAGAAGGGGGAAAGGAAAUGGGUGUAGAUGAAGUUAUUGGAAUGGAGUUCUGCGGAAGGAAGGAAUUUCCUCCUGUUUCUUUCCGAGUCCUCCCAUUCCAACAAUUUCCUCUGGAUUCCUUUCUUUCCCUAACUUCU